Molecule: non-coding RNA, 2823 nt
Organism: Coffea arabica (coffee)
Lineage: Eukaryota; Viridiplantae; Streptophyta; Magnoliopsida; Gentianales; Rubiaceae
Source: RefSeq, a predicted model, not a curated record
UUUCUUAGUUUUGCCUUUUAUCUUUACUAUUGCCUUCUUAACACGGAUGGUUAUGCAUCCAUGUUAUACAUGGUACUGGGAGAUCCUGUUUGAAUUGUGCUUGGAAUAGAUGUCUUUGUCAUUACUUUUCCAUUGCAGUAGUUGUGACUUUUAUUUAGAGUAUGCAUAGAGUGGUGUAGUUGCAUUUACAAGAGUGGUUAACAGUUAUUGCUAAAAUGCCUUAUGGGUGUCUGAGUUUUGCAGCGGAACCAAAAGUUUUUAUGCUGUAAUUUGCUUCAGUACAAUAUUGAGUUUUUGGUUGAGCUUACCAUGUCUGGUGUAUCAAAUUCCAAAAAGUCCUUGCUCUCAAAUUACAUUUGUGCAGUGCAAGAAAUUCUGUUACUUGCCAAAAGUGUGUAUAUUUGGCCAUACUCUUAACAGUGAUUAUUUUUUUUUGGCCAUCUCACCUUUUGUUCAAUUUGUUGUAUGGGUUCCAGAUUUUUACUUUUUCCUCCAUUUAUUUGUCUCGAACAUUCUGUGCAGAAGGCAUUCAAUGGAAAAUCAUAUUGUUUCUUAAUGUUUAUGUGCCAUCAUCCUGUACAAGAAGGAAAGAUUUUUAUGUAUGCAGGGAUUAUACUUGGUUCAGAACCCAUGAUUGCAAUGUUUUUUUCUUUUUUCUUUUUGGGUUUUUUUGAGUAUCCAAAACUGAUCUGGUGUCUUUAAUAGGUAUUUUGUGUUAAGCUGAUUGCUAAUAGUGAUAGGAGGGAAGCUGCUUAUAUUAUUCUCAAUAGCUUUAAGGCUACUUAAGUUUGUUCUAUGUUUAGCCUUUUUCUACUUAAUUAGGUAUGUUUAGUCUUUUGAUGUACUGUUGUUUACUUAAUGUUUCUUUUACCAUGAGAUCCUUGUAAUUUUGUAGUCUCUGAAUUUUUUAGUAAGAAAUUUUCAUUUAUUGUAGAUUAUUUAAUAUUUGAUUUGAAAUUCAUUUGUUAGCUUGCUUAUAUGCAGUUUCAAUGUAUUGAUGUAUUUACCUUUUGGUACAUAGUUUGCUUUCUUAUUGUAAUUAUUGGCCCUAUGGAAAAGAAUGAUUUAUUUACAGUGGCUCAUGUGCAAUUUCUUUACUAUCAAUGCAAAAAAAAAUCACCACUUAAUAACUACCACUGCGACAUUCAUUGAAGAUAAUGCACACAUGGUGGUAAACAGACUGAUUUUGUAUUCUUCGGGGUUUUUCCCCCUGAAUAAGAGAAAUUUUUCCCUUCCCUAGAUUCUUAAAUGUAUAUGCUGAUAGGAUUUAGAUUAUCUCCUAAUUGCGUUCUUUUGUUUAUUUGAUAGAUUGUAUUCCUCAACAAUUGAAGGUUACGAAGCUAGAAUAGAAACUCCCAGGGGGUUGAUACAUGUACAUUUGCUUGUGAAAGUUAAAAAUAACAUAUUGAAUAGUUGUGCCUUAUAAUUUUCUUUGCCUUUCUACUCUUGAAUGAUGAGUUGUACUGGGGCAAUUUCUUUUCUAGCCCGUUCUUCCUUUUUUUUCCCGGCUCUCUUAGCUCUUCAAAGAGCCUAUUACUUUGGUUAUUAUCAUAGUAUGGUUAGGUUACACAAUUUGUUUCACCAAUUUAAUGGGUAGAUUUUACAAACUUACUUUUCUUCUUUGCAUUUUAAUCUUGAUAACACCUCAUUAAUGUUUCAAAAACUAGAAAAUCAAUUUUUUAGCAAAUGUUUUUACAUUUUGAGCAUUAUCAUUUAAUUACAUGGCUUUGUUCUAGAAGUGUUUGUGUGAGCAAGUUGGGUAAAGCAGAGCUGACGAUUGAACGAUGUGGUUCAUUGCCUAUAAUAGCAGUCUAUUCUGCCCAUAGUAAUUGUAAGACAAAACAGCCAAGUUUGAUCUAAUAAUUGUCAGUUUAUACUUUUAUGGGUUUUUUUAAUAUUAUUGACAAUAUCUUACUUGAGCUUUUAUUUCGUAUGUGAAUUUACCAAAUCAGAUCUUUAAAACCCUUUUUUCUAUGGUUAGUCAUUAUUGGUGAAGUCAUUUUUUCAGUGUAUGUAAUAUAUGGUUCUUGGUAUCUCAACGUUAUAGUAUACAAAUGUGAAAACAUUUUGAAAAAAUGGAAGGAAUAUCUACUGAAAGGAGAAAAAAUUUUAACUUUUCAGGUUGUGAAUUUUUUUUGAUUUAUUUCCAUGUCAUUUUUCCAAUUUUACACUAGAUUGGACCUUCAAGUUUCUGCUUCCUUUUCAUUUCUGAAGUUUUUAAUUUCUUGCUUGCUUCUUUAGUUUUGCUGCUCCUCAUAAUCUUAGAUUGCUGCCUAUUUGAUAGAUUGAGGAAAAUCACAAGGAAAUACUAAAGGGAGGAGAAAAAGAGUAGCUUUUCAGCAUGGGACUACUCCAAAUGAUAGUUGUGAGAUUGACUUGCAUGAUGUGAAGGAUUUUACCAGUCAUCUAUGCCCCUUACUAUUGCACGAUAUGAGAGUUAAAGCAAAGGAGCUGGGGCUGUUAGCUGAGUCAUAUUUGGAGGGAAUGCAAUCAAUAUACAAAUUGAUUGGCCAAGUGCAGCAUUUAUGGUCCAUUGGGUUUACAAGUUCUUGAUGGCAUCCCUGCAGAGAUGCGAGAUUUGUUGGAAGCGUAUGUGUUAGCAGUUGCUUAUUCUCAUUUUGUUUCUAUUUAAGAGAUUAUGACCUCUUCCAAUGUACCCAAAAAAGAAAAAGAAAAAGAAAAAAUGAGGUUUCUUUAUGAUGUAUAUCCUUGAUAUUUUUUGGAGGAUUUUAUUGUUCUUUUGAUUGGCUUUAUCCCAUAAUGCUGUAAAACCUCUCUAGCAUUAAAGUUGUGCAGAAAUUGUGAGGUCGCUUUCCUAAAAAA